Molecule: transfer RNA, 79 nt
Filed under: Pseudogulbenkiania sp. NH8B
Lineage: Bacteria; Pseudomonadati; Pseudomonadota; Betaproteobacteria; Neisseriales; Chromobacteriaceae
Description: tRNA-Lys
Rfam family: tRNA
About the family: Transfer RNA (tRNA) molecules are approximately 80 nucleotides in length. Their secondary structure includes four short double-helical elements and three loops (D, anti-codon, and T loops). Further hydrogen bonds mediate the characteristic L-shaped molecular structure. tRNAs have two regions of fundamental functional importance: the anti-codon, which is responsible for specific mRNA codon recognition, and the 3' end, to which the tRNAs corresponding amino acid is attached (by aminoacyl-tRNA synthetases). tRNAs cope with the degeneracy of the genetic code in two manners: having more than one tRNA (with a specific anti-codon) for a particular amino acid; and 'wobble' base-pairing, i.e. permitting non-standard base-pairing at the 3rd anti-codon position.
Source: RNAcentral
GGGUCGUUAGCUCAGCUGGUAGAGCAGCGGACUUUUAAUCCGUUGGUCGCAAGUUCGAAUCUUGCACGACCCACCACCC